UUCUGGUUGAUCCUGCCGGACCUGACUGCUAUCGGAUUGAUACUAAGCCAUGCGAGUCAUUGUAGCAAUACAAGGCAGACGGCUCAGUAACGCGUAGUCAACCUAACCUAUGGACGGGAAUAACCUCGGGAAACUGAGAAUAAUGCCCGAUAGAACACUAUACCUGGAAUGGUUUGUGUUCCAAAUGAUUUAUCGCCGUAGGAUGGGACUGCGGCCUAUCAGUUUGUUGGUGAGGUAAUGGCCCACCAAGACUAUUACAGGUACGGGCUCUGAGAGGAGUAGCCCGGAGAUGGGUACUGAGACACGGACCCAGGCCCUAUGGGGCGCAGCAGGCGAGAAAACUUUGCAAUG
Molecule: ribosomal RNA, 351 nt
Filed under: uncultured marine group I thaumarchaeote
Lineage: Archaea; Thermoproteati; Nitrososphaerota
Description: bacterial SSU rRNA
Rfam family: Archaeal small subunit ribosomal RNA
Source: RNAcentral